This 253-nucleotide ribosomal RNA is filed under the name uncultured bacterium. RNAcentral's name for it is "partial 16S ribosomal RNA". It matches the Rfam family "Bacterial small subunit ribosomal RNA", at positions 524 to 776 of the family's 1533-position model. The record is from RNAcentral.
UACAGAGGUCUCAACCGUUGUUCGGAUUCAUUGGGCGUAAAGGGUGCGUAGGCGGCGCGGUAAGUCGGAUGUGAAAUCUCGGAGCUUAACUUCGAAACUGCAUUCGAUACUGCCGUGCUUGAGGACUGGAGAGGAGACUGGAAUUUACGGUGUAGCGGUGAAAUGCGUAGAUAUCGUAAGGAAGACCGGUGGCGAAGGCGGGUCUCUGGACAGUUCCUGACGCUGAGGCACGAAGGCCAGGGGAGCAAACGGG